GCAGUAGCCGCGGUAAUACGGAGGGUGCAAGCGUUAAUCGGAAUUACUGGGCGUAAAGCGUGCGUAGGCGGUUCGUUAAGUCUGUUGUGAAAGCCCCGGGCUCAACCUGGGAAUGGCAAUGGAUACUGGCGAGCUAGAGUGUGUCAGAGGAUGGUGGAAUUCCCGGUGUAGCGGUGAAAUGCGUAGAGAUCGGGAGGAACAUCAGUGGCGAAGGCGGCCAUCUGGGACAACACUGACGCUGAGGCACGAAAGCGUGGGGAGCAAACAGGAUUAGAUACCCCUGUAGUCCCUGUCUCUUAUAC
RNAcentral lists this ribosomal RNA (302 nucleotides) under uncultured bacterium. RNAcentral's name for it is "partial 16S ribosomal RNA". It matches the Rfam family "Bacterial small subunit ribosomal RNA", at positions 508 to 807 of the family's 1533-position model. The record is from RNAcentral.